GGUAUUCACUGAGAUAUGAUUAAUUAAAUGCGUUGAUAGCUCAUUCCACCAGUCAUACAGAUUACACUGAGUGGAGCGGGUGACCGAUCUAAGAUGGCGGACCCAUGUCUCGCCGCGCCAGUAGGCAGUAGCGGUCGAUAGGGCGAGUAUAGGUUUAUACUCGACGCGUCAACGCGGAGUGGGCGGUCGCGCGCGUUGGGUGCGCGAGACCCCAUUUCGCGUGGCGCUGUGCACGGCAUUUUUUGUAACUUUCCGCGCGGCUCCGCAUCCGAAAAUGACCGAACUCGAGGCGAUUCUGUCCGAGCAGGCAAGCCUGUGACGUAUCUCUUUGAUCAAUCCAAGCAAAACAAUGUAUAUAUUUAUCCAGUAGGGGUUCAGAUAAAAAUCGGCAGCCGGCAGCAGGAAGUGGCUGCCAUUGACAGCCUGAAGGUAGGAGGGACCUGACAGUCGUUAACAGCCAAUCAAUAUCGACCAACGUGAACUCAACCAAUCACAUAUAACUACAACAGCAGCCAUUGCAUGCUUUAGUAAUGGCAGCGAUUAAUCGAGCACCGGAAGAAGCAGUGCACAUCAACCAUGUUGGAAGCAUUCAAGGAUGAGACAAAAUGGCAGGAGAAAGAAGUGCAGAACAUCAGAGUACAUCUUGAUGUUGCCAGAUGCUGUCCUGUCAGAAGUUCUUCUUCACGUGGUCCUGGAGGAGGGUGAUGCUGCUGCAUUGUUAAAUCUCUCUUUGGUUUGUUCCAAAUUCAGAAGUCUGGUGGACAGGCACACUUCUGCUGGCUUGAUGGUGUAACUAAAUGGAGUACAAAGUCUGAGCCAUCCCAGGACCUUUAGAAAAUGUUUACACUUCAGCCAACACUGCAAUGAAGUGUACAAUAACUGCUUACCAGGUUAUGUUGGAAGAGGAAAACGAGGAGAGAUGCAAGGCUUUUACUCCGAAAACACCCAUCCAGGGGUUUGCAGUGAGUGGUGCAUGAUGCUACAGGAGGAAUAACUCUGUAUAACACAUCAGUUCUGUUCUGAAAGUCUUGUAAAUACCUCCAGGAUUGUUGUUCGUGAUUCUGAUUUCUGACAUCUACUAGGGAGUGCCCCUAAUAUUAUGUGUAUAUGUUUAUGAAGAAGUUUCUUUGUCUCAAAUCAUGCAAUCAUGCUCUUCUGCAAAUCAUGCACCAAAGGGUACUGUAUUUCUUAUGUUUUAUAUCUUAAGGACCACAAUGGAAAUAAGCCUAUGGGCUUUUUGUAUUUUUAUCCUUUUGAACACUUCAUGUUGAUUGUUGUUCAAUAAAGUAUUUAAUCAAUUCAA
Molecule: long non-coding RNA, 1303 nt
Organism: Paramisgurnus dabryanus
Lineage: Eukaryota; Metazoa; Chordata; Actinopteri; Cypriniformes; Cobitidae
Source: RefSeq, a predicted model, not a curated record